RNAcentral lists this long non-coding RNA (714 nucleotides) under Dromaius novaehollandiae (emu). RNAcentral's name for it is "lncRNA (ENSDNVG00000016151.1)". The record is from RNAcentral. Lineage: Eukaryota; Metazoa; Chordata; Aves; Casuariiformes; Dromaiidae.
UGACACAUGCAGUAACUGCACGUACUUGUACUAGAAAAUGCAAGUGUCGUGAAAGCGGUGGACAAAUGGCAGGUGAAAUCACAGGAGAAGCGAGCUGCCUUCUGCAGAACAGUCGGUACAGAAGGGAACAACGGAUCUGGAAAGACAACUAACAGUACCCUGAACCAAUCAAUUAAUUCUGACUCAAUAACAAAAGAACUGCACAUGGGAUCUGGGACUUGCAGAUCUUCUCUAACGGCCUACCACUUAGUGCAUUUAUCCAUUAGGCACAAGACACAUCUUUUCUUCCUCUGGGACAAAUUCCAUACUGCACACAGUCAUCUAUUCAGGACAUCCCGUUCUUCCCUCCAGCAGCUCUUAAAUGUAAGACACAAAAGGAGCCUUUGAGACAAGGAUCACAAUGUGCAGCUCUCCCAUUUGCAAGCCGGAUGCACUACAAGCAAACGAAGCCUUGCUUCAAGAACGUGACUCCCAUUCCAGCUAGGACAAAAUAUGGCUUGGGAAAUAGGGCAUUUCCUGGAAAGUGCAAGAUCUGGAUUUAAAGUCCCCAGAAUGAGGGCAGUAUGCAAACAGAUCCUUCUUUAUGGACAACUGCUUUGAUGCAGAAUUAUCACCUUUUUCCUCUUCCUUCUUAAGAAAACAAAGUUCUGCUGUGAUUUGUUACACCUCAGAUUGUGGAAUAAAAACAUUUCUGAGUAUCUGUUAAAUUAACCU